Molecule: ribosomal RNA, 346 nt
Filed under: uncultured bacterium
Lineage: Bacteria
Description: partial 16S ribosomal RNA
Rfam family: Bacterial small subunit ribosomal RNA
Source: RNAcentral
CCUACGGGAGGCAGCAGUGAGGAAUAUUGGUCAAUGGACGAGAGUCUGAACCAGCCAAGUCGCGUGAAGGAAGAAGGAUCUAUGGGUGGUAAACUGCUUUUAUAGGGGAAAAAAGUGAGGAAAGUGUGCCUGUUUGUAUGUACCAUAUGAAUAAGGAUAGGCUAACUCCGUGCCAGCAGCCGCGGUAAGACGGAGGUUGCGAGCGUUAUCCGGAUUGAUUGGGUUUAAAGGGUGCGUAGGGGGUUAAUUAAGUCAGCUGUGAAAGUUUGUGGCUCCACCACGAAAUUGCCGGUGCUACUGGUCGACUUGAGUAUAUUUGCGGUAGGCGUAAUGCGUGGUGUAGCGG